ACCCAAUAGAUACCCCGGUAGUCCACGCCGUAAACGAUGGGUGCUAGACGUUGGCGGGCUUGCUCGUCAGUGUCGCAGCUAAACGCGUUAAGCACCCCGCCUGGGGAGUACGGCCGCAAGGUUGAAACUCAAAGGAAUUGACGGGGGCCCGCACAAGCGGUGGAGCAUGUGAUUCAAUUCGACGCAACGCGCAGAACCUUACCAGCCCUUGACAUGGGACUCGCCGGGACCAGAGACGGUCCCUUCGGUUCGGCCGGAGUCCGCACAGGUGCUGCGUGGCUGUCGUCAGCUCGUGUCGUGAGAUGUUGGGUUAAGUCCCGCAACGAGCGCAACCCUCGUCUCCAGUUGCCAUCAGGUUAAGCUGGGCACUUUGGAGAAACUGCCGGUGACAAGCCGGAGGAAGGUGGGGAUGACGUCAAGUCCUCAUGGCCCUUACGGGCUGGGCUACACACGUGCUACAAUGGCGGUGACAAUGNGGAAGCGAAGUGCGAGCCGGAGCCGAAUCCCGAAAAGCCGUACCGAGUU
Molecule: ribosomal RNA, 525 nt
Filed under: uncultured bacterium
Lineage: Bacteria
Description: bacterial SSU rRNA
Rfam family: Bacterial small subunit ribosomal RNA
Source: RNAcentral